UGUUAAAAUAUCUUCCUGCUGUAGA
RNAcentral lists this non-coding RNA (25 nucleotides) under Mus musculus (house mouse). Lineage: Eukaryota; Metazoa; Chordata; Mammalia; Rodentia; Muridae. The record is from RNAcentral.